UUCCUUGCAAAAUUUGCAAAUUUUGAGAUGAAUCUACUUUAUUCCGUUAUUUUGCAUUUGCGCUGAUCUGCAUUUCAUUUGCGUCCAUUUUUUCUUUCAUUUGCGCCGAUUUUUUUUACAGGUAAAUUACAGGUGAAUAGAUAUAAGAAGAGGUGGUAUUAGUGCCAAUGAAACAACUCUUAUUUUUCAUAUAUCAUUAAACACCUCUCCCGUUAGACAGUUGUACAAAUGUAAGGAAUUGUCAAUCAUAACAUAUAACUGUUAUGAACUCUGAAAAGUAUUGAGUAGUUCAAUUCCAUGAUGAAUGAUUCCCUG
This 315-nucleotide long non-coding RNA is filed under the name Mytilus galloprovincialis (Mediterranean mussel). The record is from RNAcentral. Lineage: Eukaryota; Metazoa; Mollusca; Bivalvia; Mytilida; Mytilidae.